UACGUAGGGUGCGAGCGUUGUCCGGAAUUAUUGGGCGUAAAGAGCUUGUAGGCGGUCUGUCGCGUCUGCUGUGAAAAUCCGGGGCUCAACCCCGGACUUGCAGUGGGUACGGGCAGACUAGAGUGUGGUAGGGGAGACUGGAAUUCCUGGUGUAGCGGUGAAAUGCGCAGAUAUCAGGAGGAACACCGAUGGCGAAGGCGGGUCUCUGGGACGGUACUGACGCUGAGACGCGAAAGCGUGGGGAGCAAACGGG
Molecule: ribosomal RNA, 253 nt
Filed under: uncultured bacterium
Lineage: Bacteria
Description: partial 16S ribosomal RNA
Rfam family: Bacterial small subunit ribosomal RNA
Source: RNAcentral